This is a non-coding RNA of Rattus norvegicus (Norway rat), 6919 nucleotides long. The record is from RefSeq and is a predicted model, not a curated record. NCBI's taxonomy places the organism in Eukaryota, Metazoa, Chordata, Mammalia, Rodentia, Muridae.
GUAACUGUUGGGCAGAGCCUAGAAGGAACGCCUCCACUUAGUUUGUCAGUUAUACUCAUCUGAAACAGGCAAAUGUGAUGUAAAAGCACAGUAUGAUACAUUAGCACUGAGUCGUUACCCAGGGACACUCCAUACGUGCUUUGAUGUACUUCGAAGACGGUGCCCUGUAAGGAUCAGGAAGUGAGGAUGCCCACUGAGACGUUCGUCGUAACAGGAAAACAGAGGCCAUAGACAGCAUGAGUAGACCAGGUCCUCUCAGUUGUUACUUUGUGUUGGAAGCCAAACUAUAGCAAUGUUUAUUUACAAUGUCAAUAAAGAUGAUUAUCAUGAAGAUGAGAAUACAUCAUGGCGUCUUCAUCCUCUUGAUCUUUCCCUGUAGAGACACUGACCAACCGGACGCUGGAGCAACGAGGAGACUGUAACCAUGGAAUGCAAGCAAAAGGAUCUACAUUAGUGGGUGCUUAACAGUGUCGGGCACACAUGGCUACUCCCAGCUCACUUUAGGGAAGGCCUUCUCAAUGGACUCUGAACCCCUGGCACAUUCGAUGACAGGAUCGCACUUCUCACACAUUAAGAAUGGCUGUGUGGCAGAGUCGAGAUUAACAAGUUGUUGGCUAACCUUUCUGCUUGUUCAGCCUACAGAGGACCAUCUUCUUCCCAGCUCUCCCCAUGCUGCUCACCAGCCUGCGAAUGCAGACACACAAUGGCUUGCAGCUCAUUGAUCUUAGAAGCCACUCAGAGAGGCUCCGAGUUGGAUCUGGCAACAGAGACCUGCUCCAGAGUUUGUGUGACCUGAACCUCCAGGUGGGUCAUUUGGUGCAGAAGAGUUGGUCUUACCUCUGCUCUCAGGUAUGUAGGCACCCCUGGUGACUGGCUUUUAGCUCUCUGGGCAGCCAGCCACCUGAAGGGUCCUUCCUUCCCCUGACUGCUCCUAGUUCCCUGUUUCCAGAGAGCACAGAUGAUACGAAGUGGUUUCCUCUUGGGUCAGGAAUGUGGGCAGAAAGUAGUUGUCUCCUCUGAGUUCUCAGGAUUGACUGCACUUCUGAGGGUCCAACUCUCUCUCCCACAGGAUUUGGGUGCAGAGAGCUGUGGGACCUGUUCAGUUCAGUUAUGGGCGCAGAUAGAAACCAGCAGUUCCUAAUGCUGACUGCUCCUAUCUAUAUUCCUGUAUCCAGAGGCUACUAUGCAGGUUCCUCUUGGACCAGGAAUGUGAGCAGAAGUGGGCAGAAGUGUCAGUCUCCCCUGAGAUCUCAAGAUUGUCCGCACCUCUGGGAGUUCAGCUCUGUCCCCCACGGGAUUUGGGUGCAGAGAGUUGUUUUAGUUAUUCUUUUAACAGAAUAAAGAAAGCACAGAAUGAAAUAACAUCAAUAUGCUCACAUACAUCAUUAAGUCACAUGUUACCUAGAGAAAUGCAUAUUUAAUCUGUAGAAAAACAAAUGCAUAUAUGUGAAGAUAAUUUUUAAUUAAAAUAUUUUAUUGUCACUUGUUUUGUUUUGUCUUAGUUUUUGGUUUUUUGAGACAGGGGUUCCCUGUGGAGCCCUGGCUGUCCUGGAACUCACUCUAUAGACCAGGCUGUCUUUGAACUCAGACAUCUGCCUCCCUUUGCCUCCCCAGUGCCACCAGCACCCUGUUAUUGUUUUUGAAAGGGUCUUUCUAUAUAGACCAGAUAGAUUUAAACUCACAGAGGACCACCUGCCUCUGCUUCCAGGAAUGUUGGGAUUAAAAAGUAUGUGGCAGAGGUUGGGGAUUUAGCUCAGUGGUAGAGUGCUUGCCUAGCAAGGGCAAGGCCCUGGGUUCGGUCCCCAGCUCUGAAAAAAAAAAAAAAGUAUGUGGCAGCAUGCCUACCUUGUCCCUCUUGAAGAAUCUGUAUUUGUCUGCUCUAUACCUGCAGUCUAUAUAGACUCUUUUGUCACGAGUUGAUGUCUGAUGAUAAAGUCUGCUGGAAGAAUGAGCUUCCUUCUGUGGCUGAGUUCAUGAACUCUGUCCAUGCUGCUGCUGGUGAGUCCCCUUUUCAGCCUUGGCAUGGUCACUGAGAGUGGAGCGAUCAUGUUCCUGACAUCGUCACUGAGAGUGGAGUGAUCAUGUUGAUGAGCAUCCUGCACACGUUUAAUGAGGGAGUGACUUUUGCUUAGGGCUUAUCUUCUACAAUGAUGAAGAUACACCUGGGUUUCCCCUGGGUCCUCUCUUCAAAGCUUCAAGGAUGGUUCGCCUUUGCUCCCACCUUCUCUAUCAAUUGUCACCAAAUGAAAUAGCCUGGACCAGGAACUCAAGUCUAGAUGCCCUUAUCAGGAGACGGAAGAAGCACUUGAGUUAGCAGUAGAACUAGGGAGAGCCACAGACAAGUAUUCCCUAUGUGGAGCUGAUUCAUGACCAUGUGUGGAACUCAGAAUCCUGAAUUGUACCGCACACAUCCAGUACCCUUGUGUGCUGUGAAGAACCUGUCACUGCAAGUUUUUUAAAGUUUCACUACAUACACUAUUACCUUCCCUUCCCUCCUACGCUGAUUCUCAUUGAUAUAGUCAACUUAUAUCACAAAGAAUUUUUAGUCUUGUUAUGGCCCUUGAAUGUGGCUUUGAAAUUUAUAAAUUUUAAAAAUGAGUAUUUUUUUUUCUGGAUUUGUGAGGUGGCUGAGUGGAUAAGACACUUUCUGCUCAAGUUUGAAAACCUGAUCAAUGCCUAGAACUCAUGUGAAGUUAGAAGGGGAGAGCAGACUCACAAAGAUGGCCUCCAACAACUAGGACACUUACCUGCACACAUGUACACAACACUAAUAACAAAUAAAACAAUCUCAGUAAGGUGGCAGUGGUGCACACCUUUAAUCUUACCACUUGGGAAGCAAAGGCAGGCAGAUCUCUGAGUUCAAGGUCAGCCUGGUCUAUAGAGUGAGUUCUAGGACAGCCGGGGCUACACAGAGAAAUCCUGUCUCAAAAAAUCAAAAACCAAAAUCCAAAAAUUGUAGUGAGAAUUUUGGUUUCUCUAAGAGCCCAAUUAUGUUAUCUGAAUAUGUUUUUGUUUUAAUCCCAGGUGUGUAAUAUAGGAGUGCUUCAGAUUGUCUACAGUGGCUAUGAUUGAUCUCAUCCUCUGGCAGGGGCGUGAUUCUGCCAGUUGAAGGCCGUUUACAUAUGGAAUUCUGGGUACUCUUGAGAGGGUAUAAAAAUGUUCUGAGAAGCUGCUGCUCUCCAAGCUGUUGCACCCCCUAUUGUUGCUGGAUUGCUAUUUGUUGCUUGUUGCUGGUUAAAGAGAUCCUGACAAUGAAAAUUGGACUUGCCCCUAGGAACUCUACGCCCUAAUCAUUGGGUAGAAAGGUUGAUGUCCCAUUUCCCCUCUAAUUUUCUUUCUCUCCUACCUUUUGUUGAUGGGUUGGAAAGGAUAUGUGUGGAGUAGGGUAGAAGGGAGGUAGAGAUAUAAGAACCCAAUACAGUAACCAAAAGUUAUGGUUAUAAAUGGCACCCAAAAUGGGGCUAGGUAAAAUGGGAAAGUUGGUUUCUAUUUCUGUAGAGGAGAUGGCAGGGUAGGAAGGGAUGGGUAUUCUGUUUCAGGAUGUCAACAAAAAGUUUAUUAUAGGGACUGCCAUUGGAUACUCCCUUGCUUUGCUCCCAGAGGGGAUUUUCUGUUUUGUUUUCCUCUCCUUCUUCUCCUCCUCCUCCUUUUCCUCCUUCUCCUUCUCCUUCUCCUUCCUCUUUUUCUUCUACUUCUUUUUCCUUUUUCUAUAUUUUGCCUCAAAAGAAAAUUUGGGAGAAUGGCUUAACAACUGGAAAAGUUGCAGGUAGAUAUGGAAAGAUCUGAGAAACACAAAUUGUAUGAAAAUCUUCUGGGAUACCAGAAGGGUCGAAAGAGUUGCAGUAUUGGCUGUGCACUGGGGAGGUUAUGGGUAGAGGUGGAAGUGCUUCGAAAGGGAGGAGCAAUGGAAAAGGGAGAACAAAAGGCUCAGAUCUGGUGACUGAAAGCUGGAUCAUCCUGCAGAAUGAAAGAGGGAAGCAAAUCGACCUAGAAGGCAGAUAGAUCACUGCUCUGCCCAGUCUCAAAUCCCUGAAGCUUCUGGGUGGGGCAGAGAACCUGUUGUGUGGCCGAGGAGUGGGGGCGGGGGGAGGAAGCUGAAACAGCCCAUUUCAAGAGAAAGGAUUAAUCUUGAGCCAAUUGUGCUGCCAGAGGAGGGUCCUGUGCUUACAAAAUCACCAUGGGUUUUCCCAGUCAUUGUGCAGCACAUGCCUGCUAAUGAUACAGAUCAUGAUUUUGAUGAGAUAGCAUGGCAUCCUAUAGAAAUGAUAGGCCUGAGGCGUUUUAAAGAGGCUAUAGUUUCCUAUGGAAUUCAUUCCCCUUAAGUUAAACAAAUAUUAGGUAACUGGGCUACCCAAAAUAGAGUUAUUCCCCAAGACUGGAAAGGUUUGGUCACAGCAGUUAGCAGUGGUUAAUGUGGUGGAGGGAGAAAGCCUUGAAUAUUGAACAAUGAAAUGGAGCAAGGGGAAUGGCUAUUGUUAAAGAUCAACUGCUUGGAGAAGGGUGAGUUUCUGAACUACAGGAGCUGAUUUGAUGAUGCUGUUAUAGAGCAGUGUCACUUGGCUGCUUUAAGGCUUGGGACAAAGUUGAGGAGUCCAGGAAUAGAUCUGCUUCAUUCACUAAGAUUGUACAAGGCUCUGAGGAAGACUUCACAGAUCUCUAGUGAAGAUUGGUUUCAGCUGUAAACAAAGCCCCAUCAGGCCCUGAGGCCAGACAGGUGUUGAUAGGGACCUUUGAGAAUGUGAAUACAGACUGUGAGAGUGAUUAGACCCUUAAAGACUGAGCAGCAGCAGUGGAUGAGUGGAUGAGGGACAUGACUGGUAUUGGCUCCGUGAGGAUCAUGCCAGUAUCACAAGCUAUACCUAAAGGUCUCAGAUACCAGAAUACCUCAUGCUUUGAGUAUGGUGAAUAAUGCCAUUUACAAAGAAAUUCUGACCAAGUUUGUAUAAAUCUCAGAACUCAAAUUUUCUGGUGCAGUAACUUUGAGAAAUACAGCACUUUCUGAGACAGAUCUCAAAAUGUCAGUGCAUUAACUGAGAGAAAUAUGGUGCUUUCUCUCCAGAUAAGGAAACAAAUAACAGUAAUGGGUUCCCAAGAUGUAAACCAGAAAAAAAAAAAAAAAACCUAGGCUUUCCAGGGUAUGCAGACACUUGGCAGGGGUACCACUGGACUAAUAAGUAAUUAGAUAAUUUCUUGUCAUCAGGAAACAAAGUGGUGGCCCUACCAUCUCAAAACUCCACAGUAAAAAAAUACAAGUGCUUUCCUUCUGACCAGCAAGGAGAUAAUAAGCAGACAGAGACUCUGAAAUGAUGGGAAGAAAAGACACAGGAGCUGGGUGCCGCUGAAGAAGACAGAGGUGCUGCUGCAGUUUUCUGAGGAAUGAGGAUGUAGAAUGGCCCAUUCUGACUCUCUCUCUUUUCUAAAAAAAAGUUCUUUUUCUUGUGUAUGAGUGUUCUGCUGUAUAUAUGCAUACCGCAUGCACGCCUGGUGCUCACAGAAUCGAAAAAGAGUAUCAGAUCCUCUGAAACUGGAGUUAUGGACAGUUGAGUGCCUUGUGUGUUCUGGGAACUGAACUUGAAAUCUCUUGUCUCCCCCCACCCCACCCCCCCGCGCCUCCCAUGUAGUAGUUUAGGCCUACCUCCAAGUCACUUAGAGCCAAGAAUGUCUUUGAAUUUCUGCUUCUGCUGCCUCCUUUCUUCCACAGGUUGGAAUUAGAAACCUGCACACGGCACCCGGUUUAUACCGGCUGGGAUGGAACUCGGGGCCCCAUGCACACCAAGCAAGUACUCUGCCAACUGAACUACAUCUCCAGCCGUGAUUUACUCUCUGUGCUGAGAUGUCUUUUUUUCCCAUAGUUUGAACCUUUAGAAGACCUCUAAGGUACCAGGCCUCGCCCUUAUAACCAGAGCAAGCACAGGGGCAGUGUUCAUGGUGAGGUUGAGAGUUCUCUGGAGGGAGGAACACAGGAGGGAACAGGGUUGAAGGCUGUGUUAAGGAGAAUUCCUGCAAAGAAACUGUCUACAGAGACUGAUAGACUCACAAAAACUUGAAUGAUUCCAGAGAGUUGGGAAUGCUGCUGAUCUAAUAGCCUAAUAACAUUUCUUCUGGUCUAUUUUUAGAUACAGAGACUGGCAUGACCCUGGUGGGGACAGAGUGACAUGGUUCCUGCCCCAGGAACCAGGCCUGGGUGUGAGCGUCCACAAGUGUGGAUGGUUGCAUAUUUAUAUAACAAUGUAUAUGUUUUCACGCUCCUCUAAGAGUGUCCUCGCUGUUAAUGUUAACAGGUAGCAGGAGUCCAGGAGGUGAAGAGUGUAGCUGAUGACUCAGCAAAAUGAGAUCCUGGAAGAAUGAAUGCUGUCUGGAGAAGACAAGGUAGCCAGGGACAAGUUUGACAGGAGGCCUUGGGCUGCUCACUGCGCGAGGAAUGGGUAUUUGCAGAGGCUGUGUUGAUAACGGACGACCUUGCAGAACGUCUUAUCUGAACCAGGUAGAUCUAUGCCCAAAACCCCUCAGGUCACUCCAGGCACAAGUGUGCACCAUCUCCAGUUCACACCACCUCUGCUGACAAGUGGAGGAUGAGCUAGAGGAACCUAAGGAAAGCCCAGGAGUGGGCCGGCUGGAGGGCGGAGGCCGAAGAGAAGCACCCAGCUGGAGGGCAGAAGCCAAGGAGGAGCACCCAGCUGGAGGGCGGAGGCCGAGGAGGAGCACCCAUCCGGAGGGCGGAGGCCGAGGAGGAGCACCCAUCCGGAGGGCGGAGGCCGAGGAGGAGCACCCAUCCGGAGGGCGGAGGCCGAGGAGGAGCACCGGAAAAGUUGAGGUGGCAGAAAGCUGCUCUGCUCAUAGAAUUCUGGGACUCACACUGCACAGAUCACAGGAGAAAAUAAAAUCGUGUGACUUGAAACAAUGAAGACAUCCUGCAAAA